RNAcentral lists this unclassified non-coding RNA (439 nucleotides) under Hevea brasiliensis (rubber tree). The record is from RNAcentral. Lineage: Eukaryota; Viridiplantae; Streptophyta; Magnoliopsida; Malpighiales; Euphorbiaceae.
GGAUGCUAUCCUUAACACAAUUGCGGAGGGGAGGUAUCGAACUGCAGACCUUGGUGGCUCUUCAUCUACAACUGAUUUUACAAGGGCAAUAUGUGACCAUCUUUAAAGAUUCCCUAUGGAGAUUUUUUUUAAAAGAAGAAGUUUUGCACUGUUUUCAACUAAGUAGUUGCACUUUUUAUUUUGGAGUCAUGUUUAAAACCUGCUUUUAGUUGUUUUCCAGAGGAGAAUAAGACCGCAUAACUGUGAUUGUUUGUAUAGAAGAUAUUAAAAUUGCUGUUCUAAAGAUACAGGAGCCAAAUACUGUUCUCCUGCCUGCUAUAAUGUCUCGAAAUGAACAGAUCAUUGGAUUCAUUAAGAGGGCUAAUUUUCCACGCUGUAAGUUUUUUUUGAGUAGCGUAUUGUUGUCAUUACAGCAAGAAAUAAAGGGUGAUUAUUUCUA